This 314-nucleotide long non-coding RNA is filed under the name Elaeis guineensis (African oil palm). Its description in RNAcentral is "long non-coding RNA (EGUI_LNC030463)". Lineage: Eukaryota; Viridiplantae; Streptophyta; Magnoliopsida; Arecales; Arecaceae. The record is from RNAcentral.
GAUUCUACUACUCUCUAGUCUGAUUAUGAUCAUAUAGAUUUAAGAUCUAGUCUCUUUACAGACCUCUAGUGAGACAAUCAUUGACGCAUGCUGGCUGGCGGUGUAUGGUAGUAUGGAGCUUAGUUUUUUUUUUAUUUUUUUUAUUUUUUUUAAUGGAUUUAGAUAUAUAGGGUGGAUCACUAGCACCUGCUAUUGAGAGCAUGCUUCUUCAUUUGAUAUUAGAGUUAGUUUUUCUUUUGAGCCUCCAGUAGAGCGAUCACUGAUGCUUAAUCGAUGGAUAGUAUAUUGUAGUUAGGAUCUAGUCUCUUUUGGGA